CUGCCACCGAAUACAUUAGCAUGGGAUAAUGGAAUAGGACCCUGUCCUCCUAUUUUCAGUUGGUUUUGGCAGCGCGAGGACUAGGGUAAUGAUUAAUAGGGAUAGUUGGGGGCAUUAAUAUUUAAUUGUCAGAGGUGAAAUUCUUGGAUUUAUGAAAGAUUAACUUCUGCGAAAGCAUCUGCCAAGGAUGUUUUCAUUAAUCAAGAACGAAAGUUAGGGGAUCGAAGACGAUCAGAUACCGUCGUAGUCUUAACCAUAAACGAUGCCGACCAGCGAUUAGGAGACGUUGAAUACAAAACACCACCAUCGGCGCGGUCGUCCUUGGCGUCUCGGUCCUUCACGGGGCCGGGGCGCGGGGGCGGCUUAGCCCGGUGGCACCGGUGAAUGACUCCCUA
This 395-nucleotide ribosomal RNA is filed under the name Acanthamoeba sp. MMN-2011/T4. RNAcentral's name for it is "SSU rRNA". The stretch from base 1 to 337 matches the Rfam family "Eukaryotic small subunit ribosomal RNA", at positions 789 to 1115 of the family's 1831-position model. Lineage: Eukaryota; Discosea; Longamoebia; Acanthamoebidae. The record is from RNAcentral.